RNAcentral lists this ribosomal RNA (1380 nucleotides) under uncultured bacterium. RNAcentral's name for it is "16S ribosomal RNA". It matches the Rfam family "Bacterial small subunit ribosomal RNA", at positions 27 to 1398 of the family's 1533-position model. The record is from RNAcentral.
GAUUGAACGCUGGCGGCAGGCUUAACACUUGCAAGUCGAGCGGUAACAGGGGGUGCUUGCACCCCGCUGACGAGCGGCGGACGGGUGAGUAAUGCUUAGGAAUCUGCCCAGUAGUGGGGGAUAGCCCGGGGAAACCCGGAUUAAUACCGCAUACGUCCUACGGGAGAAAGCAGGGGAUCUUCGGACCUUGCGCUACUGGAUGAGCCUAAGUCGGAUUAGCUAGUUGGUGGGGUAAAGGCCUACCAAGGCGACGAUCCGUAGCUGGUCUGAGAGGAUGAUCAGCCACAUCGGGACUGAGACACGGCCCGAACUCCUACGGGAGGCAGCAGUGGGGAAUAUUGGACAAUGGGGGCAACCCUGAUCCAGCCAUGCCGCGUGUGUGAAGAAGGCUUUCGGGUUGUAAAGCACUUUCAGCGAGGAGGAAGGCUCUGAAGUUAAUACCUUCAGGGAUUGACGUUACUCGCAGAAGAAGCACCGGCUAACUCCGUGCCAGCAGCCGCGGUAAUACGGAGGGUGCAAGCGUUAAUCGGAAUUACUGGGCGUAAAGCGCGCGUAGGUGGUUAGGUAAGCGAGAUGUGAAAGCCCCGGGCUUAACCUGGGAACGGCAUUUCGAACUGUCUGACUAGAGUGUGGUAGAGGGUAGUGGAAUUUCCUGUGUAGCGGUGAAAUGCGUAGAUAUAGGAAGGAACACCAGUGGCGAAGGCGGCUACCUGGACCAACACUGACACCGAGGUGCGAAAGCGUGGGGAGCAAACAGGAUUAGAUACCCUGGUAGUCCACGCCGUAAACGAUGUCAACUAGCCGUUGGGACUCUUGAAGUCUUAGUGGCGCAGCUAACGCACUAAGUUGACCGCCUGGGGAGUACGGCCGCAAGGUUAAAACUCAAAUGAAUUGACGGGGGCCCGCACAAGCGGUGGAGCAUGUGGUUUAAUUCGACGCAACGCGAAGAACCUUACCUGGCCUUGACAUCCAGAGAACUUUCCAGAGAUGGAUUGGUGCCUUCGGGAACUCUGAGACAGGUGCUGCAUGGCCGUCGUCAGCUCGUGUCGUGAGAUGUUGGGUUAAGUCCCGUAACGAGCGCAACCCCUAUCCCUGGUUGCUAGCAGGUAAUGCUGAGAACUCCAGGGAGACUGCCGGUGACAAACCGGAGGAAGGUGGGGAUGACGUCAGGUCAUCAUGGCCCUUACGGCCAGGGCUACACACGUGCUACAAUGGCGCGUACAGAGGGCUGCCAACUCGCGAGAGUGCGCCAAUCCCUUAAAACGCGUCGUAGUCCGGAUCGGAGUCUGCAACUCGACUCCGUGAAGUCGGAAUCGCUAGUAAUCGCGAAUCAGAAUGUCGCGGUGAAUACGUUCCCGGGCCUUGCACUCACCGCCCGUC